This 208-nucleotide ribosomal RNA is filed under the name uncultured bacterium. Its description in RNAcentral is "partial 16S ribosomal RNA". It matches the Rfam family "Bacterial small subunit ribosomal RNA", at positions 568 to 774 of the family's 1533-position model. The record is from RNAcentral.
CUCGUAGGUGGCCAACUAAGUCAAACGUGAAAUCCCUCGGCUUAACCGGGGAACUGCGUUUGAUACUGGAUGGCUUGAGUUUGGGAGAGGGAUGCGGAAUUCCAGGUGUAGCGGUGAAAUGCGUAGAUAUCUGGAGGAACACCGGUGGCGAAGGCGGCAUCCUGGACCAAUACUGACGCUGAGGAGCGAAAGCCAGGGGGAGCAAACG